This 253-nucleotide ribosomal RNA is filed under the name uncultured bacterium. RNAcentral describes it as "partial 16S ribosomal RNA". It matches the Rfam family "Bacterial small subunit ribosomal RNA", at positions 524 to 776 of the family's 1533-position model. The record is from RNAcentral.
UACGAAGGGGGCUAGCGUUGCUCGGAUUGACUGGGCGUAAAGCGCGUGUAGGCGGUUCAGUAAGUCUGCUGUGAAAGUCCAGGGCUCAACCCUGGGAUGCCGGUGGAUACUGCUGGGCUAGAGUGCGGAAGAGGCGAGUGGAAUUCCCGGUGUAGCGGUGAAAUGCGCAGAUAUCGGGAGGAACACCAAUUGCGAAGGCAGCUCGCUGGGACGUUACUGACGCUGAGACGCGAAAGCGUGGGGAGCAAACAGG